This is a long non-coding RNA of Arabidopsis lyrata subsp. lyrata, 2142 nucleotides long. RefSeq lists it as uncharacterized. NCBI's taxonomy places the organism in Eukaryota, Viridiplantae, Streptophyta, Magnoliopsida, Brassicales, Brassicaceae. The record is from RefSeq and is a predicted model, not a curated record. The transcript is spliced from 3 exons.
UUCUCUCGACAAAAAAUAAGCACACCGACUCCCUUUCUCUCUCGCGAUGGCGAUCAAACAAGGUGAUGAGUCGACGCUGAUUUCGUGGGUUCCCGAUGAGUCGACGCCGAUUUCGUGGAUUGCCAAUGAUGAUUGAAAAUUUUGCGCAAGGGUUUUGAGUUUCGGAUGAUUGGAGGUUACUCUAAUAUAAAUGAACCGUGACAAAAUCAUUUUCUAAUAAUUCAUUCUGAUGGCUGCUGAUCAUUGCUAGAUAAAUCAAAUUUGAUUUCGAUUUUUGGGUACAUGGUUUAAUUUGGAUAGUUAAUUGUAGUUUGUUUGUUGAAAGAAGCUUGGUUUUGGGGGAUCUUUACGACUUUUAGGAUUGAGGUUUUCAAUUCUUUUAGCCUUAAUGUUUUGAAUUGUUUUGUGUAAUGAGUUUCUGAGGAUCUGAGGAAUUAUGAGAAGUCAUGUAUUCAAGUUCUGCUAUUAAGUUCCUGACGGCUGUGAUCAAGUCGAUUUUUUUUCUUUCUAUUUUGAUUGUUUGGGUUGCAGUGUAUUGUUCUAUGAGCUACAGGACUAUGCUAGAUUCUGGUCUGGACAUAAGUUGCUUUGGAUGUGUGAAAAUUAUGCCUAGUGGAUUGGGAUUAGCAUUUUGUUAUCUAAGGGAAUCAUUGAGUUAGUGACCAGCUCCAAAUAUGCAAGAAAUUGUGAAAAUGCAUUAGUUUAGUCCUCUUUUCGGGUAUCUAUAUGCCUUAACACUACAAUUGCUCAGUGCUUGUGCUCCUUGCUGUUCUUAAUUUUGAUUAUGUACUAGUUUGUUUAGGUGCUAUUGUUAUAUUGCAGGAUAUGGCGGAGGCAGAAGACUUCUUAAGCGCUAAAGGCAAAAGACUUGUAAUUGGAUUUAUUUUUGUGUUGAAUUGAACAAUAUUAUGUUCUACCAGUUAGUUGUGACAAUGCAGAUGGAGUUACUGGAAUACUGUUGUAACUGUUAUAGCUAGCUGAUGAGUCCUACUAGUUAGAUAAAAGGUCUCCUUAUGUUCUUCAGCCUACAAUCUAAUACUUGCUGCAACAGUUUAGUAAUUCAAAUAUUUUAGGAUUUUAGCAAAAAUGAAACUCUAUUUGCAAAACCCAUCAACAAGGACCAUACUUUUCAAGACGAUCAAGAUAGGGGAAGCCAAAACCCCUAGCACUUGCCCACCUCCCAAAGCUGCUGGAAUAACCAGGUCUCCUUACCGCCUCCUCCAAACGAUCCUGUCGCUUCAAGGAUUGCAUCUGAUGGCUGCAAGGAAUCAAUUGAUAACACAAGACGAAGGAACGAGCCUCUAUCUGAUCUAUCUUAGCUUAAGUGUAAACAAACCUUGUCUUCUUAAUGGCAAAAUUUGUAUAGGCCAAGUAGAAGUCAAGACACCAAAUCUCUGUCUUGAAUCUCUGUUUUAUAGUCACUCAAAAAUCAAAAUAUGUGUAGAUCAUGAAUCUAUAUUAUAAUUUUUAUAAAAAAAAAAAAAAUUCUGAGAACCCAUCUUGAAAGACUACCAUUGGACUAUAAAUUUUUUUUUUAAAAAAGCACAAGCUCUCAUUUAACCAAUUUCAAAAAUUUAUAUUAAAUAAAUGGAGAGAGCUCAUGGGGAGCUCUCAACCAUUGGAGAUGCUCUAACCAAACCAAAUUCACACGUCUCUAUUCGUUCGAGUUUCGACCUCUCCUUUACAUAUUUCGACUUUCGUGGUCUUAGAUUGCAAGUGCUCCUGUUCUCACAAGUGCUAAUAAAUUUAUAUAUAGGUUGCAAACAAACAAAAUUAUACUUUUACGUACAAGUUCCUUUAAGAAGCAUUACUAAUUAACUCUGGUUUUCUGUACUUAGGUGUUUUUUUUUUUUGGGACAGCAAUCUUGGAGAAAGUUAUAGGUGAAAACAACAUCACGAUAAAAGAAAUCAGAUUUCAAAAUUGGACGUUGCAUUUAGGGCACCAGAGGAAGAGACUCUAACGGAAGAGGUUCAGCCGGAGCUAAUGCCGAAACACACAUGGUUAUUAUAAUCGAAGAGAAGAAAUGAGACUGAGAGUGAGAUUGGUUUACAGUUGUAUUUAUUCUAGCCCACCUAAGUAGAUGAACAAUUCUUUUUAUUUGUUAAAUGUUAUCUGAAAUAUACGUAUUUUACAAUACUUCA